UCCUUGGUGGUCCAGUUGUUAAGACUCUGAACUUCUACCACAGUGGGCAUAGGUUCUAUUCCUAGUUGGGGAA
Molecule: transfer RNA, 73 nt
Filed under: Ovis aries (sheep)
Lineage: Eukaryota; Metazoa; Chordata; Mammalia; Artiodactyla; Bovidae
Rfam family: tRNA
About the family: Transfer RNA (tRNA) molecules are approximately 80 nucleotides in length. Their secondary structure includes four short double-helical elements and three loops (D, anti-codon, and T loops).
Source: Rfam by way of RNAcentral